RNAcentral lists this ribosomal RNA (253 nucleotides) under uncultured bacterium. RNAcentral's name for it is "partial 16S ribosomal RNA". It matches the Rfam family "Bacterial small subunit ribosomal RNA", at positions 524 to 776 of the family's 1533-position model. The record is from RNAcentral.
GACGUAGGGCGCGAGCGUUGUCCGGAUUUAUUGGGCGUAAAGGGCUCGUAGGUGGCCAACUAAGUCAGACGUGAAAUCCCUCGGCUUAACCGGGGAACUGCGUCUGAUACUGGAUGGCUUGAGUUCGGGAGAGGGAUGCGGAAUUCCAGGUGUAGCGGUGAAAUGCGUAGAUAUCUGGAGGAACACCGGUGGCGAAGGCGGCAUCCUGGACCGACACUGACACUGAGGAGCGAAAGCCAGGGGAGCAAACGGG